Molecule: ribosomal RNA, 252 nt
Filed under: uncultured Bacteroidales bacterium
Lineage: Bacteria; Pseudomonadati; Bacteroidota; Bacteroidia; Bacteroidales
Description: partial 16S ribosomal RNA
Rfam family: Bacterial small subunit ribosomal RNA
Source: RNAcentral
UACGGAGGAUGCGAGCGUUAUCCGGAUUUAUUGGGUUUAAAGGGUGCGCAGGCGGAGGUGCAAGUCAGCGGUCAAAUUGCGGGGCUCAACCCCGUACUGCCGUUGAAACUGCAUCCCUUGAGUGCGCGAGAAGUAUGCGGAAUGCGUGGUGUAGCGGUGAAAUGCGUAGAGAUUAGGAAGAACACCAGUGGCGAAGGCGACUUACUGGACUGUAACUGACGCUGAGGCAUGAGAGCAUGGGGAGCAAACAGG